UGGUUUGUUGUAUAUAGAUGGAAAUAGUUGUCGAUACUUUUUCCUUACUCGGUAGCUGUAGGGGUGAGAAGCCAUUUUUCUUUGGGAACCUUUUCUCCAGUUUUUGGUUAGGGAGGCAGACAACUCAGACUUCCACCUACCUCAGAAGUUGCUCAAGAACUUCUACUCAUGCACCAUCCAGAGCAUCCUGAUGGGAAAUAUCUGCACCUAGUAUUGGAACAGCACCAAGGAGGAAAGACGAGCUUUCCAAAUAGUGGUGCACUUUGCCAAAUGCAUCAUUCGACAAAUGGAAGGCCAGCCCACCAGGUGCUCUCUGUAUUGCUCACUCCCAAGACCUGACUCCAGGACGUGCAGGAGAAAUGACAUCUCUGAGCUGGCCUAAUGCCUCAGUGGAAAGAAAAAGGUCUGGGCGUCUUUGCCUAGGCUACUGCCUCUGUUAUCAAGCCACGGAUAAGCAGAACAAAAUUGGUGGUUGGACCUUUGGUUCUGUUAAAAAUGAGGAAAAAAAGGAGUAAAUCUUUUGAAACUCAUCCAGAAUAUUCAUGUGACUAAGUGGAGUUUUCUGAUGUACAGCUCCACAGGGACAACUCUUCAGCAUGUCAGUUUCAAUCUAAGAUGCAGACAGAGCAGAUUUGUUUCAGAGAGUUUGAAACAAACUCAGAGCAGAGUUUUAUCGAUUCUAUGGAGUGCACAAAAUCAACUUCCAAGUGAAAGGAUAAGACGGGUCCAUUUCACUAUAGAUGCACAAGAUUAGUUAGAACUC
Non-coding RNA from Maylandia zebra (zebra mbuna), 763 nucleotides. The record is from RefSeq and is a predicted model, not a curated record. Lineage: Eukaryota; Metazoa; Chordata; Actinopteri; Cichliformes; Cichlidae.